GAGCGGUAGCACAGGAGAGCUUGCUCUCUGGGUGACGAGCGGCGGACGGGUGAGUAAUGUCUGGGAAACUGCCUGAUGGAGGGGGAUAACUACUGGAAACGGUAGCUAAUACCGCAUAACGUCUACGGACCAAAGUGCGGGACCCUCGGGCCUCACGCCAUCAGAUGUGCCCAGAUGGGAUUAGCUAGUAGGUGGGGUAAUGGCUCACCUAGGCGACGAUCCCUAGCUGGUCUGAGAGGAUGACCAGCCACACUGGAACUGAGACACGGUCCAGACUCCUACGGGAGGCAGCAGUGGGGAAUAUUGCACAAUGGGCGCAAGCCUGAUGCAGCCAUGCCGCGUGUGUGAAGAAGGCCUUAGGGUUGUAAAGCACUUUCAGCGAGGAGGAAGGGUAGUGUGUUAAUAGCACAUUGCAUUGACGUUACUCGCAGAAGAAUCUUUUGCUAACUCCGUGCCAGCAGCCGCGGUAAUACGGAGGGUGCAAGCGUUAAUCGGAAUUACUGGGCGUAAAGCGCACGCAGGCGGUUUGUUAAGUCAGAUGUGAAAUCCCCGCGCUUAACGUGGGAACUGCAUUUGAAACUGGCAAGCUAGAGUCUUGUAGAGGGGGGUAGAAUUCCAGGUGUAGCGGUGAAAUGCGUAGAGAUCUGGAGGAAUACCGGUGGCGAAGGCGGCCCCCUGGACAA
RNAcentral lists this ribosomal RNA (683 nucleotides) under Serratia sp. BSR2-2-17. RNAcentral describes it as "bacterial SSU rRNA". It matches the Rfam family "Bacterial small subunit ribosomal RNA", at positions 64 to 736 of the family's 1533-position model. Lineage: Bacteria; Pseudomonadati; Pseudomonadota; Gammaproteobacteria; Enterobacterales; Yersiniaceae. The record is from RNAcentral.